Molecule: ribosomal RNA, 380 nt
Filed under: uncultured eukaryote
Lineage: Eukaryota
Description: partial 18S ribosomal RNA
Rfam family: Eukaryotic small subunit ribosomal RNA
Source: RNAcentral
CAAUAGCGUAUAUUAAAGUUGUUGCGGUUAAAAAGCUCGUAGUUGGAUUUCUGCUGAGGACGACCGGUCCGCCCUUCGGGUGAGUAUCUGGUUUGGCCUUGGCAUCUUCUUGGUGAACGUAUCUGCACUUGACUGUGUGGUGCGGUACCCAGGACUUUUACUUUGAGGAAAUUAGAGUGUUUCAAGCAGGCAUACGCCUUGAAUACACUAGCAUGGAAUAAUAAGAUAGGACCUCGGUUCUAUUUUGUUGGUUUCUAGAGCUGAGGUAAUGAUUAAUAGGGAUAGUUGGGGGCAUUCGUAUUUAACUGUCAGAGGUGAAAUUCUUGGAUUUGUUAAAGACGGACUGCUGCGAAAGCAUUUGCCAAGGAUGUUUUCAUUGA